RNAcentral lists this ribosomal RNA (524 nucleotides) under Devadatta tanduk. RNAcentral describes it as "partial 16S ribosomal RNA". It matches the Rfam family "Bacterial large subunit ribosomal RNA", at positions 1830 to 2619 of the family's 2925-position model. The record is from RNAcentral. Lineage: Eukaryota; Metazoa; Arthropoda; Insecta; Odonata; Devadattidae.
GUCUUCUCGUGAUUCUUGGGAAGUCGGACCUGCCCAGUGACAUCUGUUCAACGGCCGCGGUAUAUUGACUGUGCAAAGGUAGCAUAAUCAUUAGUUCUUUAAUAGGGAACUGGUAUGAAUGGUUUGACGAAAUAAUAACUGUCUCAGCUUUAUUUUUAAAAUUUAUCUUUUAGGUUAAAAGACUUAAAUUUAGUUGGAAGACGAGAAGACCCUAUAGAGCUUUAUAUGCUUUCUAUAUAUUUAUUUAUCAUUAAUUUUAUUUAGAAUGUUUGUUUUGUUGGGGUGAUUAUUAAAUAUGAAUAACUUUAUUAUUAAAAUUACAUUUAUGUAUGGGUUUUAGAUCCGAUAUUAUUGAUUAUUAGACUAAGUUACCUUAGGGAUAACAGCGUUAUUUUCUUUUAGAGAUCAAAUUUACAAGAAAGAUUGCGACCUCGAUGUUGGAUUAAGAUAAUAGUUGGGUGCAGUAGCUUAACUAAUAGGUCUGUUCGACCUUUAAAUUCUUACAUGAUCUGAGUUCAAACCGG